GGAGGUUGACUUAGAGCCUCCGGCACGUGCGUGUUAAUAGUGUCAGCUUUUGGCCGAGCUGUACGGUUAGUGAAUC
Molecule: non-coding RNA, 76 nt
Filed under: Prevotella dentasini JCM 15908
Lineage: Bacteria; Pseudomonadati; Bacteroidota; Bacteroidia; Bacteroidales; Prevotellaceae
Description: L13-Bacteroidia ribosomal protein leader
Rfam family: L13-Bacteroidia ribosomal protein leader
Source: RNAcentral